Molecule: ribosomal RNA, 259 nt
Filed under: Chryseobacterium sp. Hurlbut01
Lineage: Bacteria; Pseudomonadati; Bacteroidota; Flavobacteriia; Flavobacteriales; Weeksellaceae
Description: partial 23S ribosomal RNA
Rfam family: Bacterial large subunit ribosomal RNA
Source: RNAcentral
UUAGAUGUUUGAGAGGGCUUGAUUCUAGUACGAGAGGACCGAAUUGAACAAACCUCUGGUGUAUCAGUUGUUCCGCCAGGAGCACCGCUGAGUAGCUACGUUUGGAAGAGAUAAGCACUGAAAGCAUAUAAGUGCGAAACUCGCCUCAAGAUGAGACAUCUUUUAAGGGUCGUUGGAGAUGACGACGUUGAUAGGCUACAGGUGUAAAGUUGGUAACAGCAUAGCCGAGUAGUACUAAUUACCCGUAGAUUUAUAGCCU